RNAcentral lists this ribosomal RNA (252 nucleotides) under uncultured bacterium. RNAcentral describes it as "partial 16S ribosomal RNA". It matches the Rfam family "Bacterial small subunit ribosomal RNA", at positions 525 to 776 of the family's 1533-position model. The record is from RNAcentral.
ACGUAGGGUCCAAGCGUUAAUCGGAAUUACUGGGCGUAAAGCGUGCGCAGGUGGCUUGUUAAGAUCGAUGUGAAAUCCCCGGGCUCAACCUGGGAACUGCAUUGAUGACUGGCUCGCUAGAGUACGGCAGAGGGGGGUGGAAUUCCACGUGUAGCAGUGAAAUGCGUAGAGAUGUGGAGGAACACCGAUGGCGAAGGCAACCCCCUGGGCUGAUACUGACACUCAUGCACGAAAGCGUGGGGAGCAAACAGG